This 339-nucleotide ribosomal RNA is filed under the name Armadillo officinalis (oak-woodland pillbug). Its description in RNAcentral is "partial small subunit ribosomal RNA". Lineage: Eukaryota; Metazoa; Arthropoda; Malacostraca; Isopoda; Armadillidae. The record is from RNAcentral.
AGAGUGACGGGCGAUAUGUGCACAUUCAAUAUAAGGGUCAUUUAAGCAUAUUAAACAUGAAAUUACUUUCAAAUCCAUUUUUUUUUAUUUUUUUAAAAAUAAAUUCCAGUUUUUGUUAAAUUGUAAUCCACCUUAUCCUAGCUAAUGCUGCACCUGGAUCUAUUUUUUUUAAUUUUUUUUUUAAUUUGAAUAACCUUUUUAAAAAGGUAUUUAUACAACGGUAUACAUACUUUUAGCAGGUAAGAUAUAUCGUGGGGUAUCGUUUAUUAGGCAGAUUCCUCUGAGAGUAUAGAAUGCCGCCAAGUUCUUUAGGUUUCAAGAUAGUAACUAUUAGUACCU